AUACAGAGGGUGCGAGCGUUAAUCGGAAUUACUGGGCGUAAAGCGCGCGCAGGCGGUUUUCCAAGUCAGAGGUGAAAGCCCAGAGCUCAACUCUGGAACUGCCUUUGAAACUGGAAAUCUAGGGUACGGGAGAGGUGAGUGGAAUUCCGAGUGUAGAGGUGAAAUUCGUAGAUAUUCGGAAGAACACCAGUGGCGAAGGCGGCUCACUGGCCCGUUACCGACGCUCAGGCGCGACAGCGUGGGGAGCAAACAGGAUUAGAAACCCCAGUAGUCC
RNAcentral lists this ribosomal RNA (274 nucleotides) under uncultured bacterium. RNAcentral describes it as "partial 16S ribosomal RNA". It matches the Rfam family "Bacterial small subunit ribosomal RNA", at positions 523 to 796 of the family's 1533-position model. The record is from RNAcentral.